GUCUGUGUGGCUGGUCUUCCGCUCCGAUGCCAAUACAUAGUAAACUGAGGCGCGACUAUUGCUAGUUGAAAACUUUUCCCAAUACCUCGCCGUGACGACGUGAAAUACCGUCGGCUAUGGCAAUUUUUGGCAGCCUCCACGGAGG
Ornithodoros turicata is the source of this 145-nucleotide small nuclear RNA. RefSeq annotates it as U4 spliceosomal RNA. Lineage: Eukaryota; Metazoa; Arthropoda; Arachnida; Ixodida; Argasidae. The transcript has a single exon. The record is from RefSeq and is a predicted model, not a curated record.